Molecule: ribosomal RNA, 487 nt
Filed under: uncultured bacterium
Lineage: Bacteria
Description: bacterial SSU rRNA
Rfam family: Bacterial small subunit ribosomal RNA
Source: RNAcentral
UCAGGAUGAACGCUGGCGGCGUGCUUAACACAUGCAAGUCGAACGAAGCAACUAUCUUGCUGCAAGAAAGUUGACUUAGUGGCGGACGGGUGAGUAACGCGUGGGUAGCCUGCCUCAUACAGGGGGAUAACAGUUGGAAACGACUGCUAAGACCGCAUAACCCGCUAGUGUCGCAUGACACGGACGGAAAAUAUUUAUAGGGUAUGAGAUGGGCCCGCGUCUGAUUAGCUAGUUGGUAAGGUAACGGCUUACCAAGGCGACGAUCAGUAGCCGACUUGAGAGAGUGAUCGGCCACAUUGGGACUGAGACACGGCCCAAACUCCUACGGGAGGCAGCAGUGGGGAAUAUUGGACAAUGGGGGCAAGCCUGACCCGGCAACGCCGCGUGAGGGAAGAAGGUUUUCGGAUUGUAAACCUCUGUCGCAGAAGACGAAGGAAGUGACGGUAUUCUGUGAGGAAGCCCCGGCUAACUACGUGCCAGCAGCCGC